UCAGACGAUGCGUCAUGCAUAUCAAUAAGCGGAGGAAAAGAAACUAACAAGGAUUCCCUCAGUAACGGCGAGUGAAGCGGGAAGAGCUCAAAUUUGAAAUCUUGAAAGGUCACCUUUCACGAAUUGUAGUUUAAAGAAGUGUUUUCUGUUACGAUCGUAAUAUAAGUUCUUUGGAGAUAGGACAUCACAGAGGGUGAGAAUCCCGUCUAUGAUUGCGAUUUGUAGCUUUGUGAUACACUUUCAAAGAGUCGGGAUUGUUUGGGAAUGCAGUCCCAAAAUGGGAUGGUAAAUUUCAUCUAAGGCUACAUAUUGGCGAGAGACCGAUAGCGAACAAGUACCGUGAGGGAAAGAUGAAAAGAACUUUGAAAAGAGAGUUAAAUAGUACGUGAAAUUGUCAAAAGGGAAGCGUUUAACACCAGUGUUGUUUUCUGAAAAUCAACCUCUGUUAGCUUUAUGCAUGUUUGUUUAGACCUAAUCAGCUAUCUUGCAUGUUCUAUUGUUUGCAGUGGUGCACUUUUCAGUUUACAGGUCAACAUCAGUUUUUUUUACCGUAAAAAAGUUAAAGAAAGGUAGCUCAUGGCUCCGGUCGUGAGUGUUAUAGUCUUUUUCCUAUGCGGUAGGAGAGACUGAGGUCUGCAGUGUAGGCUAUUUGGCUAGAUACUCAGGUGCUAUGUGAUACCAUUUCAUAAACAACUUGUCGAUUAUGUUUUGUCUAUUGCAUACUCGCUUGUACUAUCAUACCUACGCUUAGGAUGUUGACUGAUAUGUAGUCGUA
Molecule: ribosomal RNA, 775 nt
Filed under: uncultured Neocallimastigales
Lineage: Eukaryota; Fungi; Neocallimastigomycota; Neocallimastigomycetes; Neocallimastigales
Description: partial large subunit ribosomal RNA
Rfam family: Eukaryotic large subunit ribosomal RNA
Source: RNAcentral